UCUGUGAGCCUAAUUAUUUUACAAUAUGGUUUUCAGUUCGAAAUGUGACUUUGUGAAGCUAAAAGGUACCACAGAAUGUCAAACAGAAGAUUUAGAACAGCCUCAGAUGACUUUGGAUGGUAAAACUUGGACUUUUAGCUCCAAGUCACGAAAAGAUGCUUCAAGUCGAGAAGAGGACAUGCUGGAGCAGCAAGAGAGGUACAAUGGAAAGCAGAAUGGCAAGGAAAUUGAGAGCCCAUAAUGGAAAUAAGCAAUACAAGAUGAAGUCAUAGCAUUUCUGAUAAGAGUCCUUUCUGGUGCCAUUGAGAAGUUCCUGCUGAAGUUGUUUGAAUUAUGGACCUGCAUGCUGGGUUGGGGUUCAGCAGUAUGCAUGCUUUAUAUGUUCAAGGACCACAUGCACAGAAGUAGAAAUGCAUACUUUUAACCUUAUCUCAAAAGUUGCUGUGUGGACAACAUUGCACAGCCAGAAAACAUGGUUACCAAGCCAUUCACUUGAAUAAUUUUAGAAAACAAUCUAAAUAUUUCAGGAGCUCUCUGUUGUGUUUAAUUUAUCUGUGAGCCUAAUUAUUUUACAAUAUGGUUUUCAGUUCGAAACAUGACUUUGUGCAGCUAAAAGUUAAGACAGAAUGUCGAACAGAAGAAUUAGAACAGCCUCAGAUGACCUUGGAUGGUACAAGUUGGGUAAGUGAGUUGUAUUCAGAAUACCGUUUUUCUUUUUCAAGUGGGGCUGUAUAGUAAUAUUUCAGGCACCAUGAGAAAUAUCUCAAGAGCAACAGCAGGCAUAUCCACUCUGCCAACAUACCUGCAAAACUGCAGUGAACACAAAUGAAACAAUGAAUAAAUUUCACAAUUUUGAAAUGAUACAUUUUACAAAUUAGAUUUAGCUAAUCAUUUGAGUGUAUUGUCACGUGACUGCCCUAGUGAGCAUGGAAGAGAGACAACAACCUGUGCAACUUGGUUCUUUUCUCACACUGUGUGUGUUCCUGGGAAUGAACUCUGAUCAACAGGGAGGCUUGUUGUCAACCACCUAAACCCAUGAGCUCUCUUGUGUGUCUGAAAUAUACUUAUGUUAUAUAUUUUGUUGAUCAGCUAAUAACCUUAACACUGAUGUUAUCUAUUUUUGAAACUCACCCAUAGGGAUAACUUUUUAAUUAGUUUUUUUGUUUUUAUGUUUUAUUAGAUAUACUCCUUUACUUACAUUUAAGAUCUUUUUCUGCUUCCCAGUUACCUGUCCUUAAGCAUCCAUUCCCUCACUUCCCUUUCCCCCACUGGGUAGUGAACACUAUAGAAUCAUUCUUAUUGCCCCCACUCCAUACUCCGCUGCACUGUGAGUUCAACCUUGGCAAUACUAAGGGUUUUCCCCUCACUGGUGGCCCAUAAUAUUAUUCUUUGCUAAAUAUGCAGUUGGAGCCCUGGGCCAUUCCAUGUAUAGUCUUUGUGUAGUGGUUUAGUCACUGGAACCUCUGGUUGGUUGGCAUUGUUGUUGUUAUGUGGUUGCAAGUUUUGUCAACUCUCUCAAUACUUCCUCUGACUCCCCCCAUAGGGUGCCAUAUUCUCAGUUCAGUGGUUUACUGCUAGCAUUGACUUCUGCAUUGGACAUGCUCUGGAUGUGUCUCCCCAGGAGACCUAUAUUCAGCCCCUUUCAGCAUGCAUUUUCUAGCUUCAUCAAUCUCAUGCCGUUUUUGUUACCGUAUAUAAUUGGGCCAGUGUAGGGCAGGUUUUGAAGGGCCAUUCUUUGAGUCACUGCUCUAAACUUUGCUUGCAUAUCCCUUCCUAUGGAUUAUAUCCCCCCUUUUAAGAAGGAUUUGGAGCAUCUGCAUUUUGGUCAUCCUUAUUCUUGAGUUUCCUG
Molecule: long non-coding RNA, 1849 nt
Filed under: Rattus norvegicus (Norway rat)
Lineage: Eukaryota; Metazoa; Chordata; Mammalia; Rodentia; Muridae
Description: long non-coding RNA NONRATT032358
Source: RNAcentral